Molecule: ribosomal RNA, 760 nt
Filed under: Salmonella enterica
Lineage: Bacteria; Pseudomonadati; Pseudomonadota; Gammaproteobacteria; Enterobacterales; Enterobacteriaceae
Description: partial 23S ribosomal RNA
Rfam family: Bacterial large subunit ribosomal RNA
Source: RNAcentral
CGAUUGACGGAGCGAAGCGACGUCAAAGCGUUCAUUAAAGUCGAGUUGGCUUAGGGAUACGUUCGUUGGGUAGGGGAGCGUUCUGUAAGCCUGUGAAGGUGUGUCGUGAGGCAUGCUGGAGGUAUCAGAAGUGCGAAUGCUGACAUAAGUAACGAUAAAGCGGGUGAAAAGCCCGCUCGCCGGAAGACCAAGGGUUCCUGUCCAACGUUAAUCGGGGCAGGGUGAGUCGACCCCUAAGGCGAGGCCGAAAGGCGUAGUCGAUGGGAAACGGGUUAAUAUUCCCGUACUUGGUGUUACUGCGAAGGGGGGACGGAGAAGGCUAUGUUGGCCGGGCGACGGUUGUCCCGGUUUAAGCGUGUAGGUGUGUGUUCCAGGUAAAUCCGGUUCACUUUAACACUGAGGCGUGAUGACGAGGCACUACGGUGCUGAAGCAACAAAUGCCCUGCUUCCAGGAAAAGCCUCUAAGCAUCAGGUAACAUCAAAUCGUACCCCAAACCGACACAGGUGGUCAGGUAGAGAAUACCAAGGCGCUUGAGAGAACUCGGGUGAAGGAACUAGGCAAAAUGGUGCCGUAACUUCGGGAGAAGGCACGCUGACACGUAGGUGAAGUGAUUUACUCACGGAGCUGAAGUCAGUCGAAGAUACCAGCUGGCUGCAACUGUUUAUUAAAAACACAGCACUGUGCAAACACGAAAGUGGACGUAUACGGUGUGACGCCUGCCCGGUGCCGGAAGGUUAAUUGAUGGGGUCAGCGCAAGCG